RNAcentral lists this transfer RNA (75 nucleotides) under Terriglobia bacterium. Its description in RNAcentral is "tRNA-Ser". It matches the Rfam family "tRNA". From Rfam's summary of the family: Transfer RNA (tRNA) molecules are approximately 80 nucleotides in length. Their secondary structure includes four short double-helical elements and three loops (D, anti-codon, and T loops). Lineage: Bacteria; Pseudomonadati; Acidobacteriota; Terriglobia. The record is from RNAcentral.
UGCCCCCGUAGCUCAGUAGGAAAGAGCGGCCCCAUGCUAAGGGGAGGGCCGACAGUUCGAACCUGUCCGGGGCAC